This 520-nucleotide unclassified non-coding RNA is filed under the name uncultured Glomus. RNAcentral's name for it is "SSU rRNA". It matches the Rfam family "Eukaryotic small subunit ribosomal RNA", at positions 569 to 1090 of the family's 1831-position model. Lineage: Eukaryota; Fungi; Glomeromycota; Glomeromycetes; Glomerales; Glomeraceae. The record is from RNAcentral.
AGCAGCCGCGGUAAUUCCAGCUCCAAUAGCGUAUAUUAAAGUUGUUGCAGUUAAAAAGCUCGUAGUUGAAUUUCGGGACCAAUUUGUUGGUCGUGCCUCGGUACGUACUGGUAUUAUUGGUUUCUCCCUUCUGAAGAACCUCGAUGCCAUUAAUUUGGUGUCGUGGGGAAUCAGGACUGUUACUUUGAAAAAAUUAGNGUGUUUAAAGCAAGCAUACGCUUGAAUACAUUAGCAUGGAAUAAUGAAAUAGGACGUUUGAUUCUAUUUUGUUGGUUUCUAGGAUCGACGUAAUGAUUAAUAGGGAUAGUUGGGGGCAUUAGUAUUCAAUUGUCAGAGGUGAAAUUCUUGGAUUUAUUGAAGACUAACUACUGCGAAAGCAUUUGCCAAGGAUGUUUUCAUUAAUCAAGAACGAAAGUUAGGGGAUCGAAGACGAUCAGAUACCGUCGUAGUCUUAACCAUAAACUAUGCCGACUAGGGAUCGGAUGAUGUUAAUUUUUUCAAUGACUCAUUCGGCGCCUUA